GCCGCAUGGCUCAGUGGGAAAAACUCCGGUGGUAUGAGAUGGACCCGCGUCUGAUUAGGUAGUUGGUGGGGUAACGGCCUACCAAGCCAACGAUCAGUAGCCGACCUGAGAGGGUGACCGGCCACAUUGGGACUGAGACACGGCCCAAACUCCUACGGGAGGCAGCAGUGGGGAAUAUUGCACAAUGGGGGAAACCCUGAUGCAGCGGCGCCGCGUGAGCGAAGAAGUAUUUCGGUAUGUAAAGCUCUAUCAGCAGGGAAGAAAAUGACGGUACCUGACUAAGAAGCACCGGCUAAAUACGUGCCAGCAGCCGCGGUAAUACGUAUGGUGCAAGCGUUAUCCGGAUUUACUGGGUGUAAAGGGAGCGUAGACGGCUGUGUAAGUCUGAAGUGAAAGCCCGGGGCUCAACCCCGGGACUGCUUUGGAAACUAUGCAGCUAGAGUGUCGGAGAGGUAAGUGGAAUUCCCAGUGUAGCGGUGAAAUGCGUAGAUAUUGGGAGGAACACCAGUGGCGAAGGCGGCUUACUGGACGAUGACUGACGUUGAGGCUCGAAAGCGUGGGGAGCAAACAGGAUUAGAUACCCUGGUAGUCCACGCCGUA
RNAcentral lists this ribosomal RNA (600 nucleotides) under uncultured bacterium. RNAcentral's name for it is "bacterial SSU rRNA". It matches the Rfam family "Bacterial small subunit ribosomal RNA", at positions 185 to 804 of the family's 1533-position model. The record is from RNAcentral.